GACGAACGCUGGCGGCGUGCUUAACACAUGCAAGUCGAGCGGUAAGGCCCUUUCGGGGGUACGACGAGCGGCGAACGGGUGAGUAACACGUGAGUGACCUGCCCUUACGCUCUGGGAUAAGCCUGGGAAACGUGGGUCUAAUACCGGAUAUGACUCCAUGACGCAUGUUGUGGGGUGGAAAGCCUUGUGCGGCUAGGGAUGGGCCCGCGGCCUAUCAGCUUGUUGGUGGGGUGAUGGCCUACCAAGGCGACGACGGGUAGCCGGCCUGAGAGGGCGACCGGCCACACUGGGACUGAGACACGGCCCAGACUCCUACGGGAGGCAGCAGUGGGGAAUCUUGCGCAAUGGGCGAAAGCCUGACGCAGCGACGCCGCGUGGGGAUGACGGCCUCGG
This 393-nucleotide ribosomal RNA is filed under the name uncultured bacterium. RNAcentral's name for it is "bacterial SSU rRNA". It matches the Rfam family "Bacterial small subunit ribosomal RNA", at positions 28 to 420 of the family's 1533-position model. The record is from RNAcentral.